RNAcentral lists this ribosomal RNA (425 nucleotides) under uncultured bacterium. RNAcentral's name for it is "bacterial SSU rRNA". It matches the Rfam family "Bacterial small subunit ribosomal RNA", at positions 359 to 776 of the family's 1533-position model. The record is from RNAcentral.
GAAUUUUGGACAAUGGGCGCAAGCCUGAUCCAGCAAUGCCGCGUGCAGGAAGAAGGCCUUCGGGUUGUAAACUGCUUUUGUCAGGGAAGAAAUCCUCUGGGUUAAUACCUCGGGGGGAUGACGGUACCUGAAGAAUAAGCACCGGCUAACUACGUGCCAGCAGCCGCGGUAAUACGUAGGGUGCGAGCGUUAAUCGGAAUUACUGGGCGUAAAGCGUGCGCAGGCGGUUGUGCAAGACAGAUGUGAAAUCCCCGGGCUUAACCUGGGAACUGCAUUUGUGACUGCACGGCUAGAGUACGGUAGAGGGGGAUGGAAUUCCGCGUGUAGCAGUGAAAUGCGUAGAUAUGCGGAGGAACACCGAUGGCGAAGGCAAUCCCCUGGACCUGUACUGACGCUCAUGCACGAAAGCGUGGGGAGCAAACAGG